Molecule: long non-coding RNA, 1277 nt
Filed under: Physcomitrium patens
Lineage: Eukaryota; Viridiplantae; Streptophyta; Bryopsida; Funariales; Funariaceae
Description: long non-coding RNA (PPAT_LNC007529)
Source: RNAcentral
AAAUUAGUAUCCACCCUUGAGGUCGUUAACGACAUCGUAUGGAAUGGGAGUAACAGUCUCUAGAGUAGAGGAGUCCAGAACGAAUCCAUCCCUUGGACCAGCAGGCUGACGCUUGAGGUUCACAGUUUCACCCUUAGCCUUGGCCUCAGCCUUCUUGAUGUCAUUGCUCUUACGGCGCUCGAGGAACUCUUCCCGGCAGCGUGAAGGCUGAACGUGCUCGAUGCGCACAUGAAGACGCUUCUGGAUGAUCCUGUUCCCGACCUGCACACGAAUCAUGUUUGAUGAGCACUGAGGUUUACAACUUUGGAACUUCAUAAACUCCAAAUGGACAACCAAACAUGAUAGAAUUGCAGACGAAGGCCGUCAAUAUUACGACCGUUACCAGGUAAAGGCGGUGUCAAAUGUCUGGAAAAAGCAUUCAAUACAGGCUUCACGAAAUUUAAAUCUAGAAAACUGAUCGCGGCACUAGAAUGGCAAGAAUUGGUAAGUACUGUCGCACAUACAUCACUCAGGCGAGAGCUGUGUGCGUUGCAACAAUAACUAAAUCAGCAUUCACGACGGGCCAGUGAAGAGGCUUCACUCCAAUACAAAUUAACUUAACAGAGUGAAUUAUAAAAAAAGAAUUAUUAGUGUGCACGCAAAGAGAAUUAACAUCAGAAGAUGAUGAAGACUGGGAUUCAAGAGUAUCACAUACAAAUUACCACUUUAAUGAUGGUUAUCAAGAACGAAAGUAAUCUCAAACUGAAUUAAUCUCGAACUUCCUCGGGGGGUUGCAUUACUACAACAGGGAGCCCUAACUCUGAAAGGACUUUAAGGUAUAAUAAAGCAGCAUUUCCACUUUUUCAAAACACGGACUCAGAUGAGAAAAACGAAGAUAAAAUGCACAAACAUACCACACUCAAAAUAAUGAAUUUCUCUCACAAUAUUCUGGUGUAAGCUGAAACAAGGAACGCCGGAACCGACUGAAACAAGCUGGAUUCCACCAAAAAAAAAAAACGGAUAGCGAGAGAACCGUACCUGCUUGUUCAUCACAACGCCGACGGCGCGCUUGGUGACGUUCCAGACAAUUCCAGUGCGGCCGUGGUAGAACUUGUGGGGCAUACCCUUGUGAACGGCUCCGUUCACCUUGAUGUCCACAUACUGGCCGACCUUGAAGGUCCGCAAGUAGGUAGUCAAGGGGAUGUAACCUUUGUGGCGGAAGGGCCUGGAGAACAAGUCCCUGGUGCGGGAUCGCAGCCCGUGUCCGGCCGGCAUCCUUGCUGCUGCUAGGUAUUCAC